This 85-nucleotide transfer RNA is filed under the name Caudoviricetes sp. RNAcentral's name for it is "tRNA-Tyr". It matches the Rfam family "tRNA". From Rfam's summary of the family: Transfer RNA (tRNA) molecules are approximately 80 nucleotides in length. Lineage: Duplodnaviria; Heunggongvirae; Uroviricota; Caudoviricetes. The record is from RNAcentral.
GGAAGUGUAUGCAAGUGGUUAAAGCUGGCAGACUGUAAAUCUGUCCUCAUCGAGUUCGUAGGUUCAAAUCCUACCGCUUCCCCCA